AAAUGUCUCAAACUUUUCUAUAUCCCCAUGUCACACACUCACAAACUGAAAACAUAAUGUGUGUGCAAUGAAUUGGUUAGAGAGGUCUCAAAUAUCACUUUCGUUUGUAGCUUUAGAAUUGCAUCAAAGGUGAUUCCUGUUUCUGUCACGUCUUUGGCCACGUCAGCAUGGGUUAAACAAAAACACCCACUAAUUAGUUGGCAAAUACUGCCUCCCAACAAUGCAGGUGAUGGCUGCAUGGUGCAGUUGGUGAGAAGUGCAGCGACUGUAAGGCGACUUCAUCAAAAAGUGCAUGACCUUUGGUCACAUGAUUUUUGUAAAGAUCAUGUAGUCGCAAAUUGGACAAUGUUUCUAAGCAUAAUGCAACACACUUUGAAAGGCGUCACCGACUUGACAAAAGUGCUCCCCUCGAACGAGCCUUCUGGUUAAGAAUUGACAGAAGACCCCAUGGAUGGUAGAUAUAGCUGUGUGCUGACCGACCAGCAGGAGUGGGCAGUGGAAAUGGUGAGAGUCAGGAAUGACAUAUGGCUGUUUGAAAUAAAGCAGGUCAUUGAGGAGAACAAUGACACCUUUGCCAAUGUGGCAUUCAUCAGCCUUCCAACAAUCGCCCACCUUUUGAAAAGUCACCAGUUAUCUAUAAAACACAAUCUUUUGAGAGAAACAACAACCGAGUAAAACAACUGAGGGCCGAGUAUGUUCAGAGGGUGAUGGUGCCUGAUGCUGCUGUGAACCAUCGCAAAUAUAUCUUUGUUGAUGAAGCGGGCUUUAACCUGGCCAAAACUCGGCGCCGUGGGCGGAACCUCGUCGGCCAACGGGCGACCGUCCAACGUAGGGGGAACAUCUCCAUGUGCGCAGCUAUUUCUGAAGAUGGUGUGGUAGGACAUAGGCAUUAUUUAUAUACAAAGCUUUACACAAUGUGUUUCUCAAUUAAAUUGAGCAGGCCUAUCAAAGUGAAGGGGUCACCUAUGUCAUUGUGUGGGACAAUGUCAGGUUCCACCUUGCAGAGGUGUUUCAGGCAUGGUUUUGGGCCCAUCCCCGAUUCAUGAUCCUAUACCUGCCCACAUACACUCCUCUUCUGGAGUUGGAAGGUGUUAAAUCGCCAUCACCGAGAACGUGCCGCCCUCCUUCUGGCCAUGAAUGAGGCAUAUGACGACAUCAAUGCAGACUAAUGUCAAGUUUAGAUUCACAAUGCCGAAAGGUUUUUCCCACGGUGCAUGAACAAUGAGAACAUUCACUGUGAUGUGGAUAAGAAUAUUUGGCCAAAUGCUCAAGACAGGCUUGAUGCAAAUGAAUCCGUGAUAAACGUUAUGUUUUAUUUUCAUUUAUUUAAUUUCUUACAUUUGAUU
Long non-coding RNA from Oncorhynchus keta (chum salmon), 1346 nucleotides. RefSeq lists it as uncharacterized. The transcript is spliced from 3 exons. Lineage: Eukaryota; Metazoa; Chordata; Actinopteri; Salmoniformes; Salmonidae. The record is from RefSeq and is a predicted model, not a curated record.